CCAGACUCCUACGGGAGGCAGCAGUGGGGAAUAUUGGACAAUGGGGGGAACCCUGAUCCAGCGACGCCGCGUGAGUGAAGAAGUAUUUCGGUAUGUAAAGCUCUAUCAGCAGGGAAGAAAGAAAUGACGGUACCUGACUAAGAAGCCCCGGCUAACUACGUGCCAGCAGCCGCGGUAAUACGUAGGGGGCGAGCGUUAUCCGGAUUCACUGGGUGUAAAGGGAGCGUAGACGGCCGUGCAAGCCAGGAGUGAAAGCCCGGGGCCCAACCCCGGGACUGCUCUUGGAACUGUGCGGCUGGAGUGCGGGAGGGGCAGGCGGAAUUCCUGGUGUAGCGGUGAAAUGCGUAGAUAUCAGGAGGAACACCGGCGGCGAAGGCGGCCUGCUGGACCGCGACUGACGUUGAGGCUCGAAAGCGUGGGGAGCGAACAGGAUUAGAUACCCGUGUAA
This 448-nucleotide ribosomal RNA is filed under the name uncultured bacterium. Its description in RNAcentral is "bacterial SSU rRNA". It matches the Rfam family "Bacterial small subunit ribosomal RNA", at positions 331 to 793 of the family's 1533-position model. The record is from RNAcentral.